UGGGGAAUCUUGCGCAAUGGGCGAAAGCCUGACGCAGCGACGCCGCGUGUGGGAUGAAGGUCUUCGGAUUGUAAACCACUGUCGGGAGGGACGAAGCUCUGACGGUACCUCCAAAGGAAGCACCGGCUAACUCUGUGCCAGCAGCCGCGGUAAUACAGAGGGUGCGAGCGUUGUCCGGAAUCACUGGGCGUAAAGGGCGCGUAGGCGGCCUGGUAAGUAGGGGGUGAAAUCUCAUGGCUCAACUGUGAGGCUGCCUUCUAGACUGCCAGGCUUGAGCACAGUAGAGGCGAGUGGAAUUCCCGGUGUAGCGGUGGAAUGCGUAGAGAUCGGGAAGAACAUCGGUGGCGAAGGCGGCUCGCUGGGCUGUUGCUGACGCUGAGGCGCGAAAGCGUGGGGAGCAAACAGGAUUAGAUACCCUUGUAGUCCCUGAGCGGGCUGGCAAGGCGCAU
This 449-nucleotide ribosomal RNA is filed under the name uncultured bacterium. RNAcentral describes it as "bacterial SSU rRNA". It matches the Rfam family "Bacterial small subunit ribosomal RNA", at positions 355 to 825 of the family's 1533-position model. The record is from RNAcentral.